AGGAUGAACGCUAGCGACAAGGCCUAACACAUGCAAGUCGAGGGGCAGCGACAAGGAAGCAAUCUGAGGUGGCGACCGGCGCACGGGUGAGUAACACGUAUGCAACCUGCCUGUAAGCGGGGAAUAACCCGUUGAAAGACGGACUAAUACCGCAUAAUACUAAAUUACUGCAUGGUAAUUUAUUUAAACAUUUAUGGCUUACAGAUGGGCAUGCGCAUGAUUAGCUAGUUGGAGAGGUAACGGCUCCCCAAGGCAACGAUCAUUAGGGGUUCUGAGAGGAAGGUCCCCCACACUGGUACUGAGACACGGACCAGACUCCUACGGGAGGCAGCAGUGAGGAAUAUUGGUCAAUGGACGAGAGUCUGAACCAGCCAAGUCGCGUGCAGGAAGAAUGUCCUAAUGGAUUGUAAACUGCUUUUGCAGGGGAAUAAAGUGCAUCACGUGUGAUGUUUUGUAUGUACUCUGCGAAUAAGGAUCGGCUAACUCCGUGCCAGCAGCAGC
This 501-nucleotide ribosomal RNA is filed under the name uncultured bacterium. Its description in RNAcentral is "bacterial SSU rRNA". It matches the Rfam family "Bacterial small subunit ribosomal RNA", at positions 26 to 518 of the family's 1533-position model. The record is from RNAcentral.